RNAcentral lists this long non-coding RNA (3140 nucleotides) under Lactuca sativa (garden lettuce). Lineage: Eukaryota; Viridiplantae; Streptophyta; Magnoliopsida; Asterales; Asteraceae. The record is from RNAcentral.
GGCCGCUAGUUAUCCUCAAAUGUCAAAACCCUAAAUCGAACAUAUCACAGGGCACAGAUUAAACCUUACUCGAUUCGCUAUAAAUUGCUGUCGUUUCCUCCAUGAAUCCUCAUGGUUGCAGCUCUUCUUUGUACAAAGAUCACAUCAUCUCGUUGGUUGCAAUUUAUAAAGAUUCGUGAGCUCUCUUCUCAGUUUUUUUUUAAUCUAUUGCAAUUAUAAUUUCCAAAUUCAAAUCGUUUUUGGCUGAAUAUGAUGAGAGUUAUUGUCGCCCCAGUCUUACGAGCUUCGUACAACUACGUCGCUCGAUGCUGAUAGACAUAUUCAUAAUCUGAUUUUUCAAAUUGUGCGUCUUUUCAAUCUUCGAUUUUCAGAAUCGGAACAUAAAAUAAUUUCAGAAACGUCUUUGAAUAUUUUUUUUUUAUUUUCCAUACUAAAUCUGAGAUUUUUUUUCUGAAUAUGAUGAGAGUUAUUGUCGCCCCAGUCUUACGAGCCUUGUAUCAUUGCAUUGCUCAAUGGUGAUAGACAUAUUCAUAAUCUGAUUCAUGCUGCUCCAAUUAUACAUAAUAGAUUUCAAAAUGUUAUUCAAAGUUCAUAAUUUUUUUAGUUGUAAUGAUAUUAUUUGGAGAUGAUGUGGUUAGCUAAUUGAUUGACGUGAUGAUUUAUUUACCCAUUUUGUCUGUAAUAUCAAAUGAUGAUAUAUAAUAUACAUGCAUCACCAUCUGAUCUCUCUUUUGCAACCACUCAUCAAAUCCCCAAUAAUUUUUUUUGUCAAAUCAUUCAUUUAUUCAUACUUGUUUCGAAAACGAAGCUGUUGUAAUCAAUGAUGUAAAUUAUUAUUUUUUACACUGAUGUUUAUCUGUGAUUAACUUAAAUUGAUCACCAUCUUUCGGCUGAGAUUAUGCAACAGUUUUUUUUGUUAUUUUUUUUAUUUCAAUCUUUUUGUGAAUUCAAUGCCCAUGGUAUCUAAUGCUUUUACCUAAUUAAUGUAUAAUGCAUCUCGUUUGACGGGCAGAUAGUGAUGAAAACAGACUUUGCGACACAGUUUGCUGUUAGUUUUUAAAAGCUUACUGUUACUGUUUAAUGCUGUUCACACUUUUUAUAUUUUUCCAGUAGAUACACAAUAUAUUUUUUUUGAAUUUUAUAGCAAUGUAAAAAGAGAAACAAGUAAAAUUAAAUGUAGUUGUCAUUGAUUUUGCAAAAGGCGAACACAUCUUCAUUCUUUCAUUCAUUUUUUUAACAUGGUAUCAACAAAAUAUUUAUUUUGAUUCCACCAACAUAAUCAAACUAAACUUGUGUAAUGAGAAAAAGCAGGCGAAUCCAAUUUGUAAAGGCAAGCUGAAAGGUUGAUGAAAACAUUUUAGAUUAUGAGAAGCAAUACAAUCUUUGCAAUAAGUUAAUUUAUUACUCUUAAUAUAUUAUAUAAGGAUAUGUGAACGAAAACAACUACAAGGAACACAUAUUUGAAAGAAUCAACUUAAUCUGAUUUCAUAUGAGAGAAAACUAAAAGAUUCAAAAUUUGUUUGGCUAUCUAUCUUCUUCACAUCUUUCUUCAGUCUGGAUUAUAUGUUAGACUCGAGAAUCAAGUGAACAUGGGAACUUCGAGAUCAUAUGAAAGAGCUCUGAGGUUUUAAAGUUGACCGAAAUUGAUAUAUGGUUGAUGUCAAAGGUUUGGCUUUUGAGAAAAUUGGGAUUUUUAGAUAUAUUGAAUAUUGGAUAAAUUUAACUUGGAAUAAGUUAUUGAUACUUGAAUAAUGAGAUAGAGGGUUUGGUAUUUCAUCUCUAAACAACUUAUUGAGUAAAUAAAAAAAAGUAAAAAAAAAAUGUUUGAUAAAAAGAAAAUGUCUUUUAAAACAACUUUUUCUUAAUCUUUCAAAAAGAAAUUUUCAAAAAGUUUCAAUAUGUAAUUUUUUUGAACAUUUUUUGAGUCCUAAAAGUAAAACAUUAUCUUAAAAUAAUUUUAAGCCAAGAAAAACAUAUUUUUAAAUAGGGAUAAUGACUUAAAAGGAUAAUUGAUUUGUUUACAUUAAAUAGUCAUUGAGUUUUUUUUGUUUAUAUUUACCUCUUCAACUUGUUAAACUUUAUAUAUUUAGUGAUUACGACCGGCUAUUCCAGUUUAGCCGGUAAAAAUGGCUUAAUAGGGUAAUAUAUUUGUACAUAUUUAGUCUUUACUACAUAUUUAGUCCUUAAUAUUUUUUUAUUGCAAAAUACAUUUUUGUUUUUUAUUCAUCCAGUAUUUAUGAAUUAUUUCUUUAGGUUUUUCUCAUGACAUCUUAUGUGGGAUAGUCAUAUGUUGUAAGCCAAGAUACCUGGUGCGGACCGGCUAUAAGUUGUAGGCACGAAGACUCAAGAAGAGUGGUUGGAUUAAGGUGUCAUGCCAACAAACCCUAAGUAUUCCAGUCUGAUAACUAAUUGGACCUGUUGUAUGUUGCAUUCCAAUUCGAUGACUGAUUGGGCCAAUGUAUACCAAUCUAAUGAGUGUGGGUAUGUUAUGCAUGAUAAUACGUUUGUUGUGUUGGGUAUUUUGGGGGAAACUCACUAAACUCUGUGCUUACCCAUUUGUUUAUAUUUUCAGGUUCUAUCGUUGGUCGUGGGAAGGCGAAUACAUGACUAUACACACUCAUCAACAUUAUUGAGGAUUACAUAUUUCUUAUAUUACUCUGAUUUUCGAUAAAUGUAUUUUAGAAUAAACGUUUUUUUUCUUAAUAAUGGAUUUAUAAUUUGGGAGUUUUGCCUUAUUUAAAAAUGAAAUUUUUUGGUUGUGAAAAUGAGACAUUACAUAUAAACAUCAACAGCCUCACACACUUUAUCAAUAAUUGUCCCACGUAAGAUGUCAUGAGAAAAAUCUAAAGAAAACAUUUAUAAGUAUUGAAUGUGUACAAAAACAAAAAUAAUUUAUUUUGAAACAAAAAAAUAUUAAGGAUUAAGUAUGUACAAAAACAUUAAGGACUAAAUGUGUACAAAAUAAAAAAUAUAUUACCCUAUUAAAUCAUUAUUCCCAUACUAACCGGUCAUAACGACUAAAUGUGUACAGUUCAACAAGUUAAAGAGUAAAUAUGGACCAAAAAAAAACUCAGUGAUCAAAUGUGUACAAAUCGAAAAACAUAUUACCCUUUUAAGUCAUUAUUCCUUUUAAAAACAAC